Long non-coding RNA from Limulus polyphemus (Atlantic horseshoe crab), 1717 nucleotides. RefSeq lists it as uncharacterized. Lineage: Eukaryota; Metazoa; Arthropoda; Merostomata; Xiphosura; Limulidae. The transcript has 5 exons. The record is from RefSeq and is a predicted model, not a curated record.
UAAAAUAUUGUGUAUCUCAAAACUGUCUUUUACAUCAAUCAUUUGGAAAUAGAGUAGUUGAUUUUCUUUUCUACAGUAAGAUUUCAGAACUUGAAAAGGAAUUGCAAACAACUGGACAUAACCUGAAGUCUGUAGAAGUUAAUGAAGAACAGGCUGUCCAAAAGCAAGAAGAAUAUGCACAACAAGUCCAGGAACUGACACAAAAGCUGCAGGAGGUAUGGUGGAAUAGCUGCUACACUAGGCUGAGAGUCGUGCAGAUAUUGCAGAACGUUCUGUACAGAAACUGCAGAAAGAAGUGGAAAAUCUUGAAGAAACGGUGGAAACAGAACGAGUGCAGAACCAGUCUCUACAGCAAGAAGUGGAGAGUACUCUGAAAGAAAUUUCCUCCAUGUGAUAUGGUAUAAUACCUGCAACAUGGUGAAAGAUGAGCUGGUUCAUGAGAAGUAAAAGAACAUUUUCAACAAGGUGGACCAGACAUUUGUAGAACUCACUGGUUAUUGAAGGCUUAUCUUUAUAUUUAUAUGUUUUAAAUUCCCAGUGUUUGUUCUAUAUAAUUUUUGCAUACAUAUUGUAUAAAAAUUUAAAAGAAUUAUGCCAGUGAAUUUAUCUGUAUUUCACUUGUUUUUCUCAGUCUAUGACCACAGGUUAGGUUUUAUGUACAAUUGGCAACAGUGACAUAAAAAUUUGGGCUUAAAAUCAGUACAGUGGGUCCCCGUUAUAUCUUGCAUCACUCUGUGUUGUUUCAUUAUUAGAGCAUUCACCAAUUACUACCCAUGUAUCAAACAAUGUUGCCUUGUUUCGUUACUAGAGUGUUCUAACAUUGUCAAGUACUUUUCCGGGUGUAGUGCUUACCAAUUACUACCAAUAUUUUUGAAACAAUGUCACCUUGUUUCAUUACUAGAGUAUUAACCUUUUCUGCCCAGACAUUCUUUAUUGUGCAUGUCAUAAGGGUUUUAGUGAUUUACAUUCAAAAUUGAAUUAAACUACUUUUUGUUUAUUUUAUACCUAUUAGCAUAGCAUAAAAUCAUAGCUAAUAAUCCAUAUUUUAACAGUAUAUAAGUUUUAAGUUCUUACUUUUAUAAUACAAUAUUUAAAAAAAAUCCAGAUUUUCCCUUAGUGUGAGAAAUGUGGCAUUUUUUUCUCUAGGCAUCCCCCUCUCCUCUAAUGUAUUCACCACCCCUCCAAUAAAUAUGAAAUUUAACAUAAAUUACUCAAUAUAAUAUCAUAAUCACUCUAACAAACCAAAUUUUAUUAGCCUUCAAUUUGUUUUGGUUACAAGCUUCAUUCCCAUGGGAAAGAUAUCACAUGGUCAGUCCAUUCAACCAAGCCCGGACUACUUUACCAAGCAUAGUGUACUGUACUACCAAUAUGUGUGUGAAUCAACGUUGCCUUGUCAAGAUGGCAGAGGAUGUAAAGACAUUUGUGUUCACAUGGAUGUUUUGUAUAGUAAACUGUUGUUUAAAAAGCCACUUUACACCCUUUAAAAAAGUUAUUCAGAAGUGGACCAAAAUUUUUCAGGAACAUAUCCCCCCCCCCCCAUAAUACAUGUAAAGAUUGUGUUGCUUAAUAUCAUUUUAGAUGUACAUCCCACUUUCCAGGAAUGCCUCACGAUGUAUAACAGGAAACCCCUGUAAUAAGAUUUUGUGAAUAUUGGGAAAGAAUUCGUAACAUUGAUACUGUAACUUUUAUCUUUAAGAGUAAAGAUUACAGCAGUGAU